This 253-nucleotide ribosomal RNA is filed under the name uncultured bacterium. Its description in RNAcentral is "partial 16S ribosomal RNA". It matches the Rfam family "Bacterial small subunit ribosomal RNA", at positions 524 to 776 of the family's 1533-position model. The record is from RNAcentral.
UACGGAGGGUGCAAGCGUUGUCCGGAAUCACUGGGCGUAAAGGGCGCGUAGGCGGCCCGGUAAGUAGGGGGUGAAAUCCUGCGGCUUAACCGCAGGGCUGCCUUCUAAACUGUCGGGCUCGAGCACGGUAGAGGCAGAUGGAAUUCCCGGUGUAGCGGUGGAAUGCGUAGAGAUUUGGAGGAACACCAGUGGCGAAGGCGACUUUCUGGUCUGUAACUGACACUGAGGCGCGAAAGCGUGGGGAGCAAACAGG